RNAcentral lists this small RNA (572 nucleotides) under Pan troglodytes (chimpanzee). RNAcentral's name for it is "retained intron". The record is from RNAcentral. Lineage: Eukaryota; Metazoa; Chordata; Mammalia; Primates; Hominidae.
AAAACUGGUCUGGAGCCCAACCCCCAGCCCCCUACACCAGGUCAGCCUGUGGAAUUUAGAUUCUCCUCUUCUCUUCCUGCCUUCCCCUCCAGGAGUGGGAACUGGUGGUGCUGGGGAAGUUGAAGUGGAACCUGGCAGCUGUCACUCCUCAUGACUUCAUUGAGCACAUCUUGCGCAAGCUGCCCCAGCAGCGGGAGAAGCUGUCUCUGAUCCGCAAGCAUGCUCAGACCUUCAUUGCUCUGUGUGCCACCGACUUUAAGUUUGCCAUGUACCCACCGUCGAUGAUCGCAACUGGAAGUGUGGGAGCAGCCAUCUGUGGGCUCCAGCAGGAUGAGGAAGUGAGCUCGCUCACUUGUGAUGCCCUGACUGAGCUGCUGGCUAAGAUCACCAACACAGACGUGGUAGGUGGCCACCACCUUCUUGGCUAAGUCCAGAUGUCUCUUCUCAGCUCAGGGAAGGAGACGACGGAUUUGAUUAUGUUGUGUCAGAGGUAUUUUUCUGGUUUGUUUCCUAAGAUCGACAUCCAAGGGAGUGCAGAGUUCAGCAGGUGACACCCCCUCUUAAGGUUCUGA